CGAACAUAUCCGACAUACAACAAACGUCUUCGAGAAGUCAAUCCAACGACGAAGAGGAAAAUAGGGAGAAACGUAGGAGGUCACGCGGCGAGAAAAGACGAAGACGCAGCGAUAGUCAGAAAAGACGAAAACGUCGCAGCAGAUCCAGGAAACGCGACGAGCCAAGGCACAUCGGAGAGAUACGAAAGCUGAAGUACAAAGAAAAGGGGGAAAGUGUUCGGUCACCACGACACAAGAUCUCGAACAGCAGGCUUGAAGCAGAUAUUGGAAACACGUCGGGUUCGCCUAAUCGUAAAAGAAGCAAGACGAAGCGGAGGGAUCCAAGUAACUACAGCGAUUUGUCGGACUGUAGCGACUACGAGGAUAGAAAGGCCAAAGCGAGGAGGAGAAACUCGAUGUGUCCAGAAUCUAGACACGACGGAUUUGGCAAACAAUAUAGGAGAUCUAUAUCGCGGCAUCGCAGCCCUCAAAAACAACAAUCGCAGCAAUUAAAUAUGAAAUAUUCCAACGACGACAACGAAGCAAGUAAAUUGAAUGCCAACGAGGAAGGAAACGACGAAGCAGAU
RNAcentral lists this unclassified non-coding RNA (566 nucleotides) under Bombus terrestris (buff-tailed bumblebee). RNAcentral describes it as "misc RNA ENSBTSG00005034206.1". The record is from RNAcentral. Lineage: Eukaryota; Metazoa; Arthropoda; Insecta; Hymenoptera; Apidae.